ACCCAAUAGAUACCCCGGUAGUCCACGCCCUAAACGAUGUCAACUGGUUGUUGGGGAAGGUAACUUCCUUAGUAACGAAAGCUAAACGCGUGAAAGUUGACCGCCUGGGGAGUACGGCCGCAAGGUUAAAACUCAAAGGAAUUGACGGGGACCCGCACAAGCGGUGGAUGAUGUGGAUUAAUUCGAUGCAAACGCGAAGAACCUUACCUACCCUUGACAUGUAGCGAACCCUGCUGAGAGGCGGGGGUGCCCGAAAGGGAGCGCUAACACAGGUGCUGCAUGGCUGUCGUCAGCUCGUGUCGUGAGAUGUUGGGUUAAGUCCCGCAACGAGCGCAACCCUUGUCACUAGUUGCUACGAAAGGGCACUCUAGUGAGACUGCCGGUGACAAACCGGAGGAAGGUGGGGAUGACGUCAAGUCCUCAUGGCCCUUAUGGGUAGGGCUUCACACGUCAUACAAUGGCGCAUACAGAGGGUUGCCAACCCGGCGAGGGGGAGCCAAUCCCAGAAAGUGCGUCGUAGUCCGGAUUGUUCUCUGCAACUCGAGAGCAUGAA
This 553-nucleotide ribosomal RNA is filed under the name uncultured bacterium. RNAcentral describes it as "bacterial SSU rRNA". It matches the Rfam family "Bacterial small subunit ribosomal RNA", at positions 771 to 1324 of the family's 1533-position model. The record is from RNAcentral.